GCGGGACUGCCCGGCACGAGCCGUUCGAAUAUCCCUGAGGCUAUAAGCAAUCCUAGGGAGCUGUCCCUGCCCUGGAACACGGGUUCGUCCUGGGAACCGGGGCAUACGGCGCCCACCUGACGUUUAGGCGUCAGAGGAUUUCACUGGCACCGACCCAUGGUGGUUCCGUC
Non-coding RNA from Erythrobacter litoralis HTCC2594, 170 nucleotides. It matches the Rfam family "6S / SsrS RNA". Rfam says of the family: E. coli 6S RNA was the first non coding RNA to be sequenced, but its function was unknown until recently. NCBI's taxonomy places the organism in Bacteria, Pseudomonadati, Pseudomonadota, Alphaproteobacteria, Sphingomonadales, Erythrobacteraceae. The record is from Rfam.